Molecule: ribosomal RNA, 1460 nt
Filed under: metagenome
Description: bacterial SSU rRNA
Rfam family: Bacterial small subunit ribosomal RNA
Source: RNAcentral
AGAGUUUGAUCCUGGCUCAGAACGAACGCUGGCGGCAGGCUUAACACAUGCAAGUCGAACGAGUAAGAGCCGUAGCAAUACGGAGUUCUGCUAGUGGCGCACGGGUGAGUAACGCGUGGGAAUAUGCCCUUUAGUACGGAAUAACAGUUGGAAACGACUGCUAAUACCGUAUACGCCCUUCGGGGGAAAGAUUUAUCGCUAAAGGAUUAGCCCGCGUGAGAUUAGGUAGUUGGUGGGGUAAUGGCCUACCAAGCCUACGAUCUCUAGCCGGUCUGAGAGGACGAUCGGCCACACUGGAACUGAGACACGGUCCAGACUCCUACGGGAGGCAGCAGUGGGGAAUAUUGGACAAUGGGCGAAAGCCUGAUCCAGCCAUGCCGCGUGAGUGAUGAAGGCCUUAGGGUUGUAAAGCUCUUUUGUCAGGGAAGAUAUUGACGGUACCUGAAGAAUAAGCACCGGCUAACUUCGUGCCAGCAGCCGCGGUAAUACGAAGGGUGCUAGCGUUGUUCGGAAUUACUGGGCGUAAAGCGCGCGCAGGCGGUCUAUCAAGUCAGAGGUGAAAUGCCGAAGCUCAACUUCGGAACUGCCUUUGAAACUGUUAGACUAGAAUAUGGGAGGGGAUAGCGGAAUUCCUAAUGUAGAGGUGAAAUUCGUAGAUAUUAGGAGGAACACCGGUGGCGAAGGCGGCUAUCUGGCCCAUUAUUGACGCUGAGGCGCGAAAGCGUGGGGAUCAAACAGGAUUAGAUACCCUGGUAGUCCACGCUGUAAACGAUGAGUGCUAGCUGUUGGGACCUUAGGUCUCAGUGGCGCAGCUAACGCAUUAAGCACUCCGCCUGGGGAGUACGGUCGCAAGAUUAAAACUCAAAGGAAUUGACGGGGACCCGCACAAGCGGUGGAGCAUGUGGUUUAAUUCGAGGCAACGCGAAGAACCUUACCAGGACUUGACAUGUCCAGUUUGGAUUUCAGAAAUGAUUUCCUUCAGUUUGGCUGGCUGGAACACAGGUGCUGCAUGGCUGUCGUCAGCUCGUGUCGUGAGAUGUUGGGUUAAGUCCCGCAACGAGCGCAACCCUCAUCUUUAGUUGCUACCAUUUAGUUGAGCACUCUAAAGAAACUGCCGGUGAUAAGCCGGAGGAAGGUGGGGAUGACGUCAAGUCUUCAUGGCCCUUAUGUCCUGGGCUACACACGUGCUACAAUGGCAGUGACAAUGCGCCGCUACCUCGCGAGGGGAAGCUAAUCGCAAAAAGCUGUCUCAGUUCGGAUUGUACUCUGCAACUCGAGUACAUGAAGUUGGAAUCGCUAGUAAUCGCGCAUCAGCAUGGCGCGGUGAAUACGUUCCCGGGUCUUGUACACACCGCCCGUCACACCAUGGGAGUUGGUUCUACCUUAAGCUGCUGUGCUAACCGCAAGGAGGCAGGCAACCACGGUAGGGUCAGUGACUGGGGUGAAGUCGUAACAAGGUA